This is a non-coding RNA of Nicotiana tabacum (common tobacco), 599 nucleotides long. The record is from RefSeq and is a predicted model, not a curated record. Lineage: Eukaryota; Viridiplantae; Streptophyta; Magnoliopsida; Solanales; Solanaceae.
AAAACGACGAAUAAUUCUACUCCAUGUUUUUUUUUUGGUUUCUUUCUGGAUACAGAAAAUCUUGGGCACCGGAUUGAACAAAACAAGAAGGAAUAGCAACUGGGAGAAACGGCCUUUAACUCAGUUUCAGCUAGAAUAUGCUGCUCUUGAUGCUGCUGUUCUUAUUCACAUAUUUCGUCAUGUUCGAGACUAUACACAACCUGCUGGUGACCGUGGUGGGCUUUCCAAAUUGGAGUGGAAGUCUCACAUUGUUUCCCAUAUUGAUAAUUCAAAAAUUUCAAAAAAGGAAGCUAAAAGGCGAAAGGCCAAAGCUGAUAAAGCUCCACAAAGCAUCAAAUCUAAGGAGCUUUUUGAACAAACUUAAACUUAAAGCUAGGAAAUAUAGUUAUGAUACACCUCAAUUUUACUCUCUAAGUAUUUUUCUGAGAAACAUGUUAACAGCUUAAACUGUUGCUGGUUUGUGUGUAUAUAGAAUAGCAUAGCAUUAGUAGAAAAAUACUACUUGGUAAAGCUUCAGUUGCUAAUCUUUAGUACUUAUUACUAGCUUCUGUGCGUAUACUUUCAAGUUUUCGAGUUUGUUAGAUGGCUUAUUUAGAGGA